GGUAAAGUGGCAGAGCUUGGCUUAUCGCAGUCGCCUGGAAAGCGGCCAGGUUAGGUAAUCCCUAGCCUCGGAGGUUCAAAUCCUCUCUUUACCGCCA
Molecule: transfer RNA, 97 nt
Filed under: Xanthomonas phage XbC2
Lineage: Duplodnaviria; Heunggongvirae; Uroviricota; Caudoviricetes
Description: tRNA-Ser
Rfam family: tRNA
About the family: Transfer RNA (tRNA) molecules are approximately 80 nucleotides in length.
Source: RNAcentral